CCUCAGGCCCAACAGCUCACAGCACCUAUAACAAGUGCUUCCAAGCUGCAGUCCCAGAGGCAUCAGCUCUACCUGCUGAAGGAGGGCGAGAGCAACGGAGGACAAGGUGUAGUUGUGGGAUUUCUCAAGAUCGGCCACAAGAAGUUAUUUCUGCUUGACCGACAGGGUUUGCACAUAGAGGCAGAGCCACUAUGUGUUUUGGAUUUCUACAUAGCAGAGAACUUGCAGCGACAUGGAUAUGGAUUGGAGCUCUUUGAGUUCAUGUUGCAGGUGA
This is a long non-coding RNA of Xiphias gladius (swordfish), 274 nucleotides long. RefSeq lists it as uncharacterized. Lineage: Eukaryota; Metazoa; Chordata; Actinopteri; Istiophoriformes; Xiphiidae. The record is from RefSeq and is a predicted model, not a curated record. The transcript is spliced from 3 exons.